UUGAACGCUGGCGGCAUGCCUUACACAUGCAAGUCGCACGGUAACAGGUCUUCGGAUGCUGACGAGUGGCGAACGGGUGAGUAAUACAUCGGAACGUGCCCGAUCGUGGGGGAUAACGAAGCGAAAGCUUUGCUAAUACCGCAUAAGAUCUACGGAUGAAAGCAGGGGACCGCAAGGCCUUGCGCGAACGGAGCGGCCGAUGGCAGAUUAGGUAGUUGGUGGGAUAAAAGCUUACCAAGCCGACGAUCUGUAGCUGGUCUGAGAGGACGACCAGCCACACUGGGACUGAGACACGGCCCAGACUCCUACGGGAGGCAGCAGUGGGGAAUUUUGGACAAUGGGCGAAAGCCUGAUCCAGCCAUGCCGCGUGCAGGAUGAAGGCCUUCGGGUUGUAAACUGCUUUUGUACGGAACGAAAAGACUCUGGUUAAUACCUGGGGUCCAUGACGGUACCGUAAGAAUAAGCACCGGCUAACUACGUG
This 481-nucleotide ribosomal RNA is filed under the name uncultured bacterium. RNAcentral describes it as "partial 16S ribosomal RNA". It matches the Rfam family "Bacterial small subunit ribosomal RNA", at positions 30 to 507 of the family's 1533-position model. The record is from RNAcentral.